This 689-nucleotide long non-coding RNA is filed under the name Brassica napus (rape). Its description in RNAcentral is "long non-coding RNA (BNAP_LNC011824)". The record is from RNAcentral. Lineage: Eukaryota; Viridiplantae; Streptophyta; Magnoliopsida; Brassicales; Brassicaceae.
AGGUGCCUGCCAUUUUCUGUUUUCUUCGUGCAUACGAAGAAUAGUCUUUAAGUCAUCACCAGAAAAAGUAGCAUAGGAGAAAUUACCAAUAUUUGCAAGAACCUUCCCCUCGGGUUCUUUGGUAAGAUAUAUGUCUAGUGUUUAAGAACAUGUGGAUAACUUUCCUCGAGUGUAUAUGGACCACUCCAUCAAAAAAUUUUUUGACCAGCUCUAUAAGACUAGGCGAUGGCUUUCAUGUUCUUUCCCAUAGUGAGUUCCAUUUCUCCUUCCAUUUAUCAUCACUUAUCAACUCAUAUAGAUUGCACACAUAAGGUUCAACCAUCGAGAUAUAAGCAUCACAUAUAUCUGUAUAACCCUUAUAUAUAGUCCAUAAUGUUUUUCGAAUUUCCUAGAAGAGAUAGAGCCAUAUCCUCUCUAUUAGGCCAAACAACCAGCAGGGGUUGAUCAACCAGCAUGAGUUGAUUCUUUGGUCCAUUAAUAGACAUAAAACCAUCAUCAGUAGCUAUAUGCUGAUCAUUUUUCGCUAUCCUAUGUUGUUCCUUCACCUAGUAAACUCAUUAUUGUUUCACCGUUUGUUCCUUGACCCAUUUCUUCACUCGGUGCCAAACUCUCAUCAACUUCAUCAUCAUCUCUUAAACACUUAUCAUCUUAUAUCCAACUAUUUCCUUGACAUGUUUCUUCACCAUCAA